UUAUUAAUUAUUUAGGACAAUUAAUAAUUAUUUAGGACAAUUAAUAAUUAAUAAUACAUCAUAUAUAUUUAUUUAGAACAAUUAAUAAUUAUUUAGGACAAUUAUACAUCAUAUACAUCAAAUAAGAAAAAUAAAAAAUAAUUAUUUAGGAUAUGCAUAAUGUAUAUAAGAAAAAUAAAACAUCAUAUACAUUUAUUUAGGACAAUUAAUAAUUAUUUAAGACAAUUAAUAAUUUUAAGAAAAAUAAAACAUUAUAUACAUUUAUCUAGGACAAUUAAUAAUUAAUAAUUAGUUAUGACAUAUAUAGCACAAUUAAUAAUUAAUAAUACAUCAUAUAUAUUUAUUUAAAACAAUUAAUAAUUAUUUAUAACAAUUAUACAUCAUAUACAUCAAAUAAGAAAAAUAAAAAAUAAAAAAUAAAAAAAUAAAACAAUGGCCGUUGGUGGGCCGGCCCAGCUGGGCAAGCGGCCCACCGGCCCCUCCCCCUCCCCCUCCCUCUCACCCUCGCCCUCAGCACGGCCGCAAGGCCGCCGCCGCCGCCUCGGGUGACCACCCCGACGCUCUGGCCGCCUCGACUCCCCCCGUCUCCCAACGCCGCC
This 599-nucleotide long non-coding RNA is filed under the name Sorghum bicolor (sorghum). RNAcentral describes it as "long non-coding RNA (SBIC_LNC009175)". The record is from RNAcentral. Lineage: Eukaryota; Viridiplantae; Streptophyta; Magnoliopsida; Poales; Poaceae.